Molecule: ribosomal RNA, 785 nt
Filed under: Bacillus stercoris
Lineage: Bacteria; Bacillati; Bacillota; Bacilli; Caryophanales; Bacillaceae
Description: bacterial SSU rRNA
Rfam family: Bacterial small subunit ribosomal RNA
Source: RNAcentral
AGCUUGCUCCCUGAUGUUAGCGGCGGACGGGUGAGUAACACGUGGGUAACCUGCCUGUAAAACUGGGAUAACUCCGGGAAACCGGGGCUAAUACCGGAUGGUUGUUUGAACCGCAUGGUUCAAACAUAAAAGGUGGCUUCGGCUACCACUUACAGAUGGACCCGCGGCGCAUUAGCUAGUUGGUGAGGUAACGGCUCACCAAGGCAACGAUGCGUAGCCAACCUGAGAGGGUGAUCGGCCACACUGGGACUGAGACACGGCCCAGACUCCUACGGGAGGCAGCAGUAGGGAAUCUUCCGCAAUGGACGAAAGUCUGACGGAGCAACGCCGCGUGAGUGAUGAAGGUUUUCGGAUCGUAAAGCUCUGUUGUUAGGGAAGAACAAGUACCGUUCGAAUAGGGCGGUACCUUGACGGUACCUAACCAGAAAGCCACGGCUAACUACGUGCCAGCAGCCGCGGUAAUACGUAGGUGGCAAGCGUUGUCCGGAAUUAUUGGGCGUAAAGGGCUCGCAGGCGGUUUCUUAAGUCUGAUGUGAAAGCCCCCGGCUCAACCGGGGAGGGUCAUUGGAAACUGGGGAACUUGAGUGCAGAAGAGGAGAGUGGAAUUCCACGUGUAGCGGUGAAAUGCGUAGAGAUGUGGAGGAACACCAGUGGCGAAGGCGACUCUCUGGUCUGUAACUGACGCUGAGGAGCGAAAGCGUGGGGAGCGAACAGGAUUAGAUACCCUGGUAGUCCACGCCGUAAACGAUGAGUGCUAAGUGUUAGGGGGUUUCCGCCCCUUAGUG